AGCGAUCAACCGACGAUGAGGGAGCUGAUCCGGCGCCUGAGCUUCUCAGACCGGGUGAGCGACGGCAGCGGCGGCGUGCCGCGCGGGUGCGUGCCGGUGCUGGUUGUGGGCGACGGCGACGAGAAGUGCGAGCGGUUCGUGGUGCCGGUGGAGGCUCUGCGGCACCCGUCGCUGGCAGCGCUGCUGGAGAUGGCGGCGCAGGAGUUCGGGUACAAGCAGGAGGGCAUCCUCCGCGUCCCCUGCGCCGUCAACAAGUUCAGGCAGGCGCUCACUACCGCCGCCGUCUCCAAGAACUACUGA
RNAcentral lists this ribosomal RNA (300 nucleotides) under Triticum aestivum (bread wheat). RNAcentral describes it as "partial small subunit ribosomal RNA". Lineage: Eukaryota; Viridiplantae; Streptophyta; Magnoliopsida; Poales; Poaceae. The record is from RNAcentral.